Molecule: ribosomal RNA, 407 nt
Filed under: uncultured bacterium
Lineage: Bacteria
Description: partial 16S ribosomal RNA
Rfam family: Bacterial small subunit ribosomal RNA
Source: RNAcentral
AUUGAACGCUGGCGGCAGGCCUAACACAUGCAAGUCGAGCGGAGCGACGGACGGGUGAGUAAUGCCUAGGAAUCUGCCUGGUAGUGGGGGAUAACGUCCGGAAGCGGGCGCUAAUAACGCAUGCUAUCAGAUGAGACCAAGUAGGAUUAGCUAGGUGGUGGGGUAAAGGACUACCAAGGCGACAAUCCGUCAAUGGGCUGAGAGGAUGAUCAGUCACACUGGGAUGGAGACACGGCCCAGACUCCUACGGGAGGCAGCAGUGGGGAAUAUUGGACAAGGGGCGAAAGCCGGAUCCAGCCAUGCCGCGUGUGUGAAGAAGGUCUUCGGAUUGUAAAGCACUUUAAGUUGGGAGGCGUUACCAACAGAAUAAGCACCGGCUAACUUCGUGCCAGCAGCCGCGGUAAUUC